Molecule: ribosomal RNA, 278 nt
Filed under: uncultured Lactococcus sp.
Lineage: Bacteria; Bacillati; Bacillota; Bacilli; Lactobacillales; Streptococcaceae
Description: partial 16S ribosomal RNA
Rfam family: Bacterial small subunit ribosomal RNA
Source: RNAcentral
AAGGUUGGUACUUGUACCGACUGGAUGAGCAGCGAACGGGUGAGUAACGCGUGGGGAAUCUGCCUUUGAGCGGGGGACAACAUUUGGAAACGAAUGCUAAUACCGCAUAAAACUUUAAACACAAGUUUUAAGUUUGAAAGAUGCAAUUGCAUCACUCAAAGAUGAUCCCGCGUUGUAUUAGCUAGUUGGUGAGGUAAAGGCUCACCAAGGCGAUGAUACAUAGCCCGACCCUGAGAGGGUGAUCGGCCACAUUGGGACUGAGACACGGCCCAAACUCC